UGGGGAAUAUUGCACAAUGGGCGGAAGCCUGAUGCAGCGACGCCGCGUGAGCGAUGAAGCCCUUCGGGGUGUAAAGCUCUUUCGGCAGGGAAGAUUAUGACGGUACCUGCAGAAGCAGCUGCGGCUAACUACGUGCCAGCAGCCGCGGUAAUACGUAGGCAGCAAGCGUUGUUCGGAGUUACUGGGCGUAAAGGGUGUGUAGGCGGUUCUCUAAGUUUGGUGUGAAAUCUCCCGGCUCAACUGGGAGGGUGCGCCGAAAACUGGAGGGCUAGAGUACUGGAUGGGAGAGUGGAAUUCCUGGUGUAGCGGUGAAAUGCGUAGAUAUCAGGAGGAACACCUGUGGUGUAGACGGCUCUCUGGACAGUAACUGACGCCGAGACACGAAGGCGUGGGUAGCAAAC
RNAcentral lists this ribosomal RNA (401 nucleotides) under uncultured bacterium. RNAcentral's name for it is "bacterial SSU rRNA". It matches the Rfam family "Bacterial small subunit ribosomal RNA", at positions 355 to 773 of the family's 1533-position model. The record is from RNAcentral.